UACAGAGGUCUCAAGCGUUGUUCGGAUUCAUUGGGCGUAAAGGGUGCGUAGGCGGCGCGGUAAGUUGGGUGUGAAAUCUUGGAGCUUAACUCCGAAACUGCAUUCGAUACUGGCGGGCUAGAGUAUGGCAGAGGGGGGUAGAAUUCCACGUGUAGCAGUGAAAUGCGUAGAGAUGUGGAGGAAUACCGAUGGCGAAGGCAGCCCCCUGGGCCAAUACUGACGCUCAUGCACGAAAGCGUGGGGAGCAAACAGG
RNAcentral lists this ribosomal RNA (253 nucleotides) under uncultured bacterium. RNAcentral describes it as "partial 16S ribosomal RNA". It matches the Rfam family "Bacterial small subunit ribosomal RNA", at positions 524 to 776 of the family's 1533-position model. The record is from RNAcentral.